AGGUUUUUGUUUGUUUUUUGUUUGUGU
This 27-nucleotide small RNA is filed under the name Arabidopsis thaliana (thale cress). RNAcentral describes it as "ATSL062630". Lineage: Eukaryota; Viridiplantae; Streptophyta; Magnoliopsida; Brassicales; Brassicaceae. The record is from RNAcentral.